GCCCGUGUAGCUCAGUGGAUUAGAGCAUCGGUCUUCGGAACCGAGUGUCGUAGGUUCGAUCCCUACCACGGGCACCA
Molecule: transfer RNA, 77 nt
Filed under: Patescibacteria group bacterium
Lineage: Bacteria
Description: tRNA-Arg
Rfam family: tRNA
About the family: Transfer RNA (tRNA) molecules are approximately 80 nucleotides in length. Their secondary structure includes four short double-helical elements and three loops (D, anti-codon, and T loops).
Source: RNAcentral